AUGAAGAGCGCUGGAAAUCCGACCCUUUGUCGAACAAAGUGGAGAAAAGUAGCCUAUGGGGGCAUGCAGCCAGGCUACGAUGAUAACUACACCGACGACUCCUUCCUGGAGGAGAUGGUCAUGAACGCCAAUGUCGUCAAGAGGGACUUCCUGAGGGUGAUGGUCGACUCUGUCUCCAUCUCCCAGUAUCUCUGCAUCGUCGCCCUUGUAGUUUCGACAUGGACACAUACGCUGAAUUUGGCCAUCGACGAAAUCACUCUCCUGAAAUUCGACAUUGGUCUGCUGCUUGUUGGGUUCUUGGUCCUCCUGCUCACCACCAGCCCAUUCUCGCUGAAUCUACUCUUGAAGUAUGUCCUCAACAUAUCAUUCUUCACCAGUGGCCUUUAUGUUCUGGCGCCAAUUUGCCAUACCCUUACCAGGUCCAUCAGUUCAGAUUCGAUCUGGGCACUUGCUGUGUUCCUUCUGCUGGUUCAUCUCUUCUUGCAUGACUACUCUGGCUCCACUAUAAGGCCUCCAGGUGCACUCAACAACCCAAAGCUGACCAGCAACAUCUCCUUGAACGCGUCGAUAGUGGCGUCUGUUCUUGUGGCGUCGCGUCUGCCAUCUUGGCUGCACGUCUUUGCAAUCAUGCUCUUCUCAUUGCAGGUCUUCCUGUUUGCGCCGCUGGUCACAUUUUGUAUCAAGAAGUACUCCUGUAGACUCCAUUUGAUGUUCUCCUUUGCUCUCAUGGUCAUGACCCUGGGCGUCACGUACCAGCUGCAUCGAAUGCUCUUCAUUUUGCUGCUGGCUCUCGUCGUUUUCAUCUCGCUUGUCUGCCCCUACUGGCUUAUCAGGAUUCAGGAGUACAAGUUUGAGAUCAAUGGCCCCUGGGAUGAAGCUAAACUCUGCUUUGAUAUAACUGAAUGA
RNAcentral lists this ribosomal RNA (906 nucleotides) under Triticum aestivum (bread wheat). RNAcentral's name for it is "partial small subunit ribosomal RNA". The record is from RNAcentral. Lineage: Eukaryota; Viridiplantae; Streptophyta; Magnoliopsida; Poales; Poaceae.